RNAcentral lists this ribosomal RNA (3031 nucleotides) under Listeria monocytogenes. Its description in RNAcentral is "23S ribosomal RNA". It matches the Rfam family "Bacterial large subunit ribosomal RNA". The record is from RNAcentral. Lineage: Bacteria; Bacillati; Bacillota; Bacilli; Caryophanales; Listeriaceae.
GGUUAAGUUAGAAAGGGCGCACGGUGGAUGCCUUGGCACUAGGAGCCGAAGAAGGACGGGACUAACACCGAUAUGCUUUGGGGAGCUGUACGUAAGCGUUGAUCCAGAGAUUUCCGAAUGGGGGAACCCACUAUCUUUAGUCGGAUAGUAUCCUUACGUGAAUACAUAGCGUGAGGAAGGCAGACCCAGGGAACUGAAACAUCUAAGUACCUGGAGGAAGAGAAAGAAAAAUCGAUUUCCUGAGUAGCGGCGAGCGAAACGGAAAGAGCCCAAACCAAGAAGCUUGCUUCUUGGGGUUGUAGGACACUCUAUACGGAGUUACAAAAGAAAGUUAUAAAUGAAGCGGUCUGGAAAGGCCCGCCAAAGACGGUAACAGCCCGGUAGUUGAAAUGGCUUUCCCUCCAGAGUGGAUCCUGAGUACGGCGGAACACGUGAAAUUCCGUCGGAAUCCGGGAGGACCAUCUCCCAAGGCUAAAUACUCCCUAGUGACCGAUAGUGAACCAGUACCGUGAGGGAAAGGUGAAAAGCACCCCGGAAGGGGAGUGAAACAGUUCCUGAAACCGUGUGCCUACAAGUAGUUAGAGCCCGUUAAUGGGUGAUAGCGUGCCUUUUGUAGAAUGAACCGGCGAGUUACGAUUUGUUGCAAGGUUAAGCGGAAAAAGCGGAGCCGUAGCGAAAGCGAGUCUGAAUAGGGCGCAUAAGUAACAGGUCGUAGACCCGAAACCAGGUGAUCUACCCAUGUCCAGGAUGAAGGUAAGGUAAUACUUACUGGAGGUCCGAACCCACGCACGUUGAAAAGUGCGGGGAUGAGGUGUGGGUAGCGGAGAAAUUCCAAUCGAACUUGGAGAUAGCUGGUUCUCUCCGAAAUAGCUUUAGGGCUAGCCUCGAGGUAAAGAGUCAUGGAGGUAGAGCACUGUUUGGACUAGGGGCCCUUCUCGGGUUACCGAAUUCAGAUAAACUCCGAAUGCCAUGUACUUAUACUCGGGAGUCAGACUGCGAGUGAUAAGAUCCGUAGUCGAAAGGGAAACAGCCCAGACCACCAGUUAAGGUCCCCAAAUAUAUGUUAAGUGGAAAAGGAUGUGGGGUUGCUUAGACAACCAGGAUGUUGGCUUAGAAGCAGCCACCAUUGAAAGAGUGCGUAAUAGCUCACUGGUCGAGUGACCCCGCGCCGAAAAUGUACCGGGGCUAAACAUAUUACCGAAACUGUGGAUGAACCUCUUUAGAGGUUCGUGGUAGGAGAGCGUUCUAAGGGCGGUGAAGUCAGACCGGAAGGACUGGUGGAGCGCUUAGAAGUGAGAAUGCCGGUAUGAGUAGCGAAAGAAGGGUGAGAAUCCCUUCCACCGAAUAUCUAAGGUUUCCUGAGGAAGGCUCGUCCGCUCAGGGUUAGUCGGGACCUAAGCCGAGGCCGAUAGGCGUAGGCGAUGGACAACAGGUAGAGAUUCCUGUACCAGUGCUAAUUGUUUAACCGAUGGGGUGACACAGAAGGAUAGGGAAUCGCACGAAUGGAAAUGUGCGUCCAAGCAGUGAGUGUGAGAAGUAGGCAAAUCCGCUUCUCANNNNNNNNNNNNNNNNNNNNNNNNNNNNNNNNNNNNNNNNNNNNNNNNNNNNNNNNNNNNNNNNNNNNNNNNNNNNNNNNNNNNNNNNNNNNNUUCUCGCGAAGCAUGAGCUGUGAUGGGGAAGGAAAUUAAGUACGGAAGUUCCUGAUUUCACGCUGUCAAGAAAAGCCUCUAGGAAGAGUAGUACUGCCCGUACCGCAAACCGACACAGGUAGAUGAGGAGAGAAUCCUAAGGUGAGCGAGAGAACUCUCGUUAAGGAACUCGGCAAAAUGACCCCGUAACUUCGGGAGAAGGGGUGCUCUAUUAGGGUGCAAGCCCGAGAGAGCCGCAGUGAAUAGGCCCAGGCGACUGUUUAGCAAAAACACAGGUCUCUGCAAAACCGUAAGGUGACGUAUAGGGGCUGACGCCUGCCCGGUGCUGGAAGGUUAAGAGGAGUGCUUAGCUUCGGCGAAGGUACGAAUUGAAGCCCCAGUAAACGGCGGCCGUAACUAUAACGGUCCUAAGGUAGCGAAAUUCCUUGUCGGGUAAGUUCCGACCCGCACGAAAGGCGCAACGAUCUGGGCACUGUCUCAACGAGAGACUCGGUGAAAUUAUAGUACCUGUGAAGAUGCAGGUUACCCGCGACAGGACGGAAAGACCCCGUGGAGCUUUACUGCAACCUGAUAUGGAAUGUUUGUACCGCUUGUACAGGAUAGGUAGGAGCCGAAGAGACGUGUGCGCUAGCAUACGAGGAGGCAAUGGUGGGAUACUACCCUGGCUGUAUGACCAUUCUAACCCGCCACGCUUAGCGCGUGGGGAGACAGUGUCAGGUGGGCAGUUUGACUGGGGCGGUCGCCUCCUAAAGAGUAACGGAGGCGCCCAAAGGUUCCCUCAGAAUGGAUGGAAAUCAUUCGCAGAGUGUAAAGGCACAAGGGAGCUUGACUGCGAGACUGACAAGUCGAGCAGGGACGAAAGUCGGGCUUAGUGAUCCGGUGGUUCCGCAUGGAAGGGCCAUCGCUCAACGGAUAAAAGCUACCCCGGGGAUAACAGGCUUAUCUCCCCCAAGAGUCCACAUCGACGGGGAGGUUUGGCACCUCGAUGUCGGCUCGUCGCAUCCUGGGGCUGUAGUCGGUCCCAAGGGUUGGGCUGUUCGCCCAUUAAAGCGGCACGCGAGCUGGGUUCAGAACGUCGUGAGACAGUUCGGUCCCUAUCCGUCGCGGGCGCAGGAAAUUUGAGAGGAGCUGUCCUUAGUACGAGAGGACCGGGAUGGACACACCGCUGGUGUACCAGUUGUUCCGCCAGGAGCAUCGCUGGGUAGCUAUGUGUGGCAGGGAUAAACGCUGAAAGCAUCUAAGCGUGAAGCCCCCCUCAAGAUGAGAUUUCCCAUUUCUUCGGAAAGUAAGAUCCCUGAAAGAUGAUCAGGUAGAUAGGUUUGGAGUGGAAGUGUAGCGAUACAUGGAGCGGACAAAUACUAAUCGAUCGAGGACUUAACCAA